This 465-nucleotide ribosomal RNA is filed under the name uncultured bacterium. RNAcentral's name for it is "partial 16S ribosomal RNA". It matches the Rfam family "Bacterial small subunit ribosomal RNA", at positions 338 to 795 of the family's 1533-position model. The record is from RNAcentral.
CCUACGGGAGGCAGCAGUAGGGAAUCUUCCACAAUGGGCGAAAGCCUGAUGGAGCAACGCCGCGUGGGUGAAGAAGGUCUUCGGAUCGUAAAACUCUGUUGUUAGAGAAGAAAGUGCGUGAGAGUAACUGUUCACGUUUCGACGGUAUCUAACCAGAAAGCCACGGCUAACUACGUGCCAGCAGCCGCGGUAAUACGUAGGUGGCAAGCGUUAUCCGGAUUUAUUGGGCGUAAAGGGAACGCAGGCGGUCUUUUAAGUCUGAUGUGAAAGCCUUCGGCUUAACCGGAGUAGUGCAUUGGAAACUGGGAGACUUGAGUGCAGAAGAGGAGAGUAGAACUCCAUGUGUAGCGGUGAAAUGCGUAGAUAUAUGGAAGAACACCAGUGGCGAAAGCGGCUCUCUGGUCUGUAACUGACGCUGAGGUUCGAAAGCGUGGGUAGCAAACAGGAUUAGAUACCCUUGUAGUC